UUAAGUUCAGCGGGUAUUCCUACCUGAUCCGAGGUCAACCUUGAGAUAUAAGGGGUUGUUUUACGGCAAGAACCCGCCGCACGCCCUGAGCGAAGAUGUAUUACUGCGCUCGGUGUGACUAGCGAGCCCGCCACUGGUUCAGGGCCUGCGGGCAGCCCGCAGGACCCCAACACAAGCCGGGGGCUUGAUGGUUGAAAUGA
RNAcentral lists this unclassified non-coding RNA (200 nucleotides) under Ascomycota sp. RNAcentral's name for it is "partial internal transcribed spacer 2". The record is from RNAcentral. Lineage: Eukaryota; Fungi; Ascomycota.